GAUGAACGCUGGCGGCGUGCCUAAUACAUGCAAGUCGAGCGAACGGACGAGAAGCUUGCUUCUCUGAUGUUAGCGGCGGACGGGUGAGUAACACGUGGAUAACCUACCUAUAAGACUGGGAUAACUUCGGGAAACCGGAGCUAAUACCGGAUAAUAUUUUGAACCGCAUGGUUCAAAAGUGAAAGACGGUCUUGCUGUCACUUAUAGAUGGAUCCGCGCUGCAUUAGCUAGUUGGUAAGGUAACGGCUUACCAAGGCAACGAUGCAUAGCCGACCUGAGAGGGUGAUCGGCCACACUGGAACUCAGACACGGUCCAGACUCCUACGGGAGGCAGCAGUAGGGAAUCUUCCGCAAUGGGCGAAAGCCUGACGGAGCAACGCCGCGUGAGUGAUGAAGGUCUUCGGAUCGUAAAACUCUGUUAUUAGGGAAGAACAUAUGUGUAAGUAACUGUGCACAUCUUGACGGUACCUAAUCAGAAAGCCACGGCUAACUACGUG
RNAcentral lists this ribosomal RNA (497 nucleotides) under uncultured bacterium. RNAcentral describes it as "partial 16S ribosomal RNA". It matches the Rfam family "Bacterial small subunit ribosomal RNA", at positions 28 to 507 of the family's 1533-position model. The record is from RNAcentral.